Molecule: transfer RNA, 64 nt
Filed under: Amynthas robustus
Lineage: Eukaryota; Metazoa; Annelida; Clitellata; Crassiclitellata; Megascolecidae
Description: tRNA-Leu1
Rfam family: tRNA
About the family: Transfer RNA (tRNA) molecules are approximately 80 nucleotides in length.
Source: RNAcentral
GGUGUGUUGGCAGAAUAGUGCAAUUGACUUAGGAUCAAUUUAUGGAACUCAAAUCCACACACUA